GGGUUGUGAGGUUAAGCGACUAAGCGUACACGGUGGAUGCCCUGGCAGUCAGAGGCGAUGAAGGACGUGCUAAUCUGCGAAAAGCGUCGGUAAGGUGAUAUGAACCGUUACAGCCGGCGAUGUCCGAAUGGGGAAACCCAGUGUGAUUCGUCACACUAUCGUUAACUGAAUACAUAGGUUAACGAGGCGAACCGGGGGAACUGAAACAUCUAAGUACCCCGAGGAAAAGAAAUCAACCGAGAUUCCCCCAGUAGCGGCGAGCGAACGGGGAGCAGCCCAGAGUCUGAAUCAGCUUGUGUGUUAGUGGAACGGUCUGGAAAGUCCGACGGUACAGGGUGAUAGUCCCGUACACCAAAAUGCACAGGCUGUGAACUCGAAGAGUAGGGCGGGACACGUGGUAUCCUGUCUGAAUAUGGGGGGACCAUCCUCCAAGGCUAAAUACUCCUGACUGACCGAUAGUGAACCAGUACCGUGAGGGAAAGGCGAAAAGAACCCCGGCGAGGGGAGUGAAAAAGAACCUGAAACCGUGUACGUACAAGCAGUGGGAGCACCUUCGGGUGUGACUGCGUACCUUUUGUAUAAUGGGUCAGCGACUUAUAUUCUGUAGCAAGGUUAACCGUAUAGGGGAGCCGCAGGGAAACCGAGUCUUAACUGGGCGUUAAGUUGCAGGGUAUAGACCCGAAACCCGGUGAUCUAGCCAUGGGCAGGUUGAAGGUUGGGUAACACUAACUGGAGGACCGAACCGACUAAUGUUGAAAAAUUAGCGGAUGACUUGUGGCUGGGGGUGAAAGGCCAAUCAAACCGGGAGAUAGCUGGUUCUCCCCGAAAGCUAUUUAGGUAGCGCCUCGUGAAUUCAUCUUCGGGGGUAGAGCACUGUUUCGGCUAGGGGGUCAUCCCGACUUACCAACCCGAUGCAAACUACGAAUACCGAAGAAUGUUAUCACGGGAGACACACGGCGGGUGCUAACGUCCGUCGUGAAGAGGGAAACAACCCAGACCGCCAGCUAAGGUCCCAAAGUCACAGUUAAGUGGGAAACGAUGUGGGAAGGCACAGACAGCCAGGAUGUUGGCUUAGAAGCAGCCAUCAUUUAAAGAAAGCGUAAUAGCUCACUGGUCGAGUCGGCCUGCGCGGAAGAUGUAACGGGGCUAAACUGUGCACCGAAGCUGCGGCAGCGACACUAUGUGUUGUUGGGUAGGGGAGCGUUCUGUAAGCCUGCGAAGGUGGCCUGUGAGGGUUGCUGGAGGUAUCAGAAGUGCGAAUGCUGACAUAAGUAACGAUAAUGCGGGUGAAAAGCCCGCACGCCGGAAGACCAAGGGUUCCUGUCCAACGUUAAUCGGGGCAGGGUGAGUCGACCCCUAAGGCGAGGCCGAAAGGCGUAGUCGAUGGGAAACAGGUUAAUAUUCCUGUACUUGGUGUUACUGCGAAGGGGGACGGAGAAGGCUAUGUUAGCCGGGCGACGGUUGUCCCGGUUUAAGCAUGUAGGCGGAGGUUCCAGGUAAAUCCGGUACCUUUUUAACGCUGAGGUGUGAUGACGAGGCACUACGGUGCUGAAGUAACAAAUGCCCUGCUUCCAGGAAAAGCCUCUAAGCAUCAGGUAACAUUGAAUCGUACCCCAAACCGACACAGGUGGUCAGGUAGAGAAUACCAAGGCGCUUGAGAGAACUCGGGUGAAGGAACUAGGCAAAAUGGUGCCGUAACUUCGGGAGAAGGCACGCUGAUAUGUAGGUGAAGCCCCUGCGGGUGGAGCUGAAAUCAGUCGAAGAUACCAGCUGGCUGCAACUGUUUAUUAAAAACACAGCACUGUGCAAACACGAAAGUGGACGUAUACGGUGUGACGCCUGCCCGGUGCCGGAAGGUUAAUUGAUGGGGUUAUCCGUAAGGAGAAGCUCUUGAUCGAAGCCCCGGUAAACGGCGGCCGUAACUAUAACGGUCCUAAGGUAGCGAAAUUCCUUGUCGGGUAAGUUCCGACCUGCACGAAUGGCGUAAUGAUGGCCAGGCUGUCUCCACCCGAGACUCAGUGAAAUUGAACUCGCUGUGAAGAUGCAGUGUACCCGCGGCAAGACGGAAAGACCCCGUGAACCUUUACUAUAGCUUGACACUGAACAUUGAGCCUUGAUGUGUAGGAUAGGUGGGAGGCUUUGAAGCGUGGACGCCAGUCUGCGUGGAGCCAACCUUGAAAUACCACCCUUUAAUGUUUGAUGUUCUAACGUUGGCCCCUUAUCGGGGUUGCGGACAGUGUCUGGUGGGUAGUUUGACUGGGGCGGUCUCCUCCCAAAGAGUAACGGAGGAGCACGAAGGUUAGCUAAUCCUGGUCGGACAUCAGGAGGUUAGUGCAAUGGCAUAAGCUAGCUUGACUGCGAGCGUGACGGCGCGAGCAGGUGCGAAAGCAGGUCAUAGUGAUCCGGUGGUUCUGAAUGGAAGGGCCAUCGCUCAACGGAUAAAAGGUACUCCGGGGAUAACAGGCUGAUACCGCCCAAGAGUUCAUAUCGACGGCGGUGUUUGGCACCUCGAUGUCGGCUCAUCACAUCCUGGGGCUGAAGUAGGUCCCAAGGGUAUGGCUGUUCGCCAUUUAAAGUGGUACGCGAGCUGGGUUUAGAACGUCGUGAGACAGUUCGGUCCCUAUCUGCCGUGGGCGCUGGAGAAUUGAGGGGGGCUGCUCCUAGUACGAGAGGACCGGAGUGGACGCAUCACUGGUGUUCGGGUUGUCAUGCCAAUGGCAUUGCCCGGUAGCUAAAUGCGGAAGAGAUAAGUGCUGAAAGCAUCUAAGCACGAAACUUGCCCCGAGAUGAGUUCUCCCUGAGACUUUAAGUCUCCUGAAGGAACGUUAAAGACGAUGACGUUGAUAGGUCGGGUGUGUAAGCGUAGCGAUACGUUGAGCUAACCGAUACUAAUGAACCGUGAGGCUUAACCUUACAACGCCGAAGGUGUUU
Molecule: ribosomal RNA, 2931 nt
Filed under: Klebsiella aerogenes
Lineage: Bacteria; Pseudomonadati; Pseudomonadota; Gammaproteobacteria; Enterobacterales; Enterobacteriaceae
Description: bacterial LSU rRNA
Rfam family: Bacterial large subunit ribosomal RNA
Source: RNAcentral